This 253-nucleotide ribosomal RNA is filed under the name uncultured bacterium. RNAcentral's name for it is "partial 16S ribosomal RNA". It matches the Rfam family "Bacterial small subunit ribosomal RNA", at positions 524 to 776 of the family's 1533-position model. The record is from RNAcentral.
UACGUAGGGGGCUAGCGUUGCUCGGAAUCACUGGGCGUAAAGGGUGCGUAGGCGGGUCUUUAAGUCUGGGGUGAAAUCCUGGAGCUCAACUCCAGAACUGCCUUUGAUACUGAAGAUCUUGAGUUCGGGAGAGGUGAGUGGAACUGCGAGUGUAGAGGUGAAAUUCGUAGAUAUUCGCAAGAACACCAGUGGCGAAGGCGGCUCACUGGCCCGAUACUGACGCUGAUGCACGAAAGCGUGGGGAGCAAACAGG